This 394-nucleotide long non-coding RNA is filed under the name Canis lupus familiaris (dog). RNAcentral describes it as "lncRNA (ENSCAFG00805009856.1, ENSCAFG00845016844.1)". Lineage: Eukaryota; Metazoa; Chordata; Mammalia; Carnivora; Canidae. The record is from RNAcentral.
CUGGAACCCUCAUAGACCACACUCCUGUAGUCUGCUUUGGUCUGAUCAACCUGAGCCAUAUAGUUCCUCUGCAACCCUCUGCAUGCUUAUCUACAAGGGCCUCCCCCACAUCCAAGUUCAUACUGCUCAGAAACAGUGAGCUUGGAGUGUUCCGUUUAUCUUGAUCUCCCUCUGACAAAGAAAUCCAGAUGACACAGAACCCACUGAAGACGAUACCUGGAAAAUGGCAGUCUUGGAAAUAACUUUGGCUGUCAUCCUGACUCUAUUGGGACUUGCCAUUCUGGCUAUUUUAUUAACAAGAUGGACACGACGCAAGCAAAAUGGUGCUGGUCUUCUGGACUAUGAGGAUGGUAGAGGAUUCCGGCAUUUGUAUUCAACAGAAAGUGGUAAAUAA